AGAUGUGACCCAUCACUCCUCAUCAUCUCCAUCAAAGUGCUACUGAAGGUUCCAGUGUUCUAGACUAGAGCUCCUCCUACUGGCAUCUCAACAUUACUGCAGCCUCCAGUCUCUCUUCAUAUGUCCCAAUCAUGUCCUCAUCCACUUGGAUCAAUAACAAAAUAUCAAACUGGUAAUAAGGUGCCUGAGACUGAGGUCCCGAUUCCCAACCCUUUCCCAAGUGUGCAAGUUCACUCUUCCCGUCAUGGAUUUAAAAGUAUGAGACUGGUGUGAACAUUGGAGUUUCCAUAUUUGUUAGCUGAAUCCAUAUCAGUGGAACAGGCGAAGCUGAAAUCUUUGCCCUAUACACAGUCUAUGUCAUUGCCAGGGGUCAGGGAAACGGACGAGGGAUUCACAUAUUCUCAAAAUUUAUUUUCAUCAGUUUUUUUUCUUCUGUGAUUGACACUCAACUAGUGAAUUCAGACAAUCCGAUCAGAGAGCGAAACAUGCAAAUCUACGAUGCUCACAAGGUCUACUUCGGGGAAGAAGUGGGCGGAGUCAGGUCUACUUUGGGGAAGAAGUGGGCGGAGUCAGGGGAGGAUUCAAACAAAAGAUGGCAGCAGAUAAAGAUACAAAUGAAAAUACACAAAAUAAAAUGUCAAAUAACAUUUAAAAAUGUAAAGAAAUGUAGACAGAAUAAACCAACCAUGUAA
Molecule: long non-coding RNA, 692 nt
Organism: Oncorhynchus tshawytscha (Chinook salmon)
Lineage: Eukaryota; Metazoa; Chordata; Actinopteri; Salmoniformes; Salmonidae
Source: Ensembl